GGCCUAAUCCUCAGGGAAUCUAGCAGUGAGAAGGAUGAGAGCGUCACUGGCCAGACAGCAUUUAUUGCCCAUCCCUAAUUGCUCAGAGGGCAGUCGAGAGUCAACCACAUUGCUGUGGGUCUGGAGUCACGUGUAGGCCAGGCCAGAGGUGCUCAGAAACAAUAUGAAGGGGUGACGGCUCAGAAAUCGCUGAGGCGGGAUUUCAAACAGCAGACUGACAGCAUGCUAACAACGAAGACAAUUCCCAU
Molecule: long non-coding RNA, 248 nt
Organism: Stegostoma tigrinum
Lineage: Eukaryota; Metazoa; Chordata; Chondrichthyes; Orectolobiformes; Stegostomatidae
Exons: 3
Source: RefSeq, a predicted model, not a curated record